This 633-nucleotide ribosomal RNA is filed under the name Stenotrophomonas sp.WP13B. Its description in RNAcentral is "bacterial SSU rRNA". It matches the Rfam family "Bacterial small subunit ribosomal RNA", at positions 56 to 684 of the family's 1533-position model. Lineage: Bacteria; Pseudomonadati; Pseudomonadota; Gammaproteobacteria; Lysobacterales; Lysobacteraceae. The record is from RNAcentral.
UGCAAGUCGAGCGGUAGAGAGAAGCUUGCUUCUCUUGAGAGCGGCGGACGGGUGAGUAAUGCCUAGGAAUCUGCCUGGUAGUGGGGGAUAACGUUCGGAAACGGACGCUAAUACCGCAUACGUCCUACGGGAGAAAGCAGGGGACCUUCGGGCCUUGCGCUAUCAGAUGAGCCUAGGUCGGAUUAGCUAGUUGGUGAGGUAAUGGCUCACCAAGGCGACGAUCCGUAACUGGUCUGAGAGGAUGAUCAGUCACACUGGAACUGAGACACGGUCCAGACUCCUACGGGAGGCAGCAGUGGGGAAUAUUGGACAAUGGGCGAAAGCCUGAUCCAGCCAUGCCGCGUGUGUGAAGAAGGUCUUCGGAUUGUAAAGCACUUUAAGUUGGGAGGAAGAGCAGUUACCUAAUACGUGAUUGUUUUGACGUUACCGACAGAAUAAGCACCGGCUAACUCUGUGCCAGCAGCCGCGGUAAUACAGAGGGUGCAAGCGUUAAUCGGAAUUACUGGGCGUAAAGCGCGCGUAGGUGGUUAGUUAAGUUGGAUGUGAAAUCCCCGGGCUCAACCUGGGAACUGCAUUCAAAACUGACUGACUAGAGUAUGGUAGAGGGUGGUGGAAUUUCCUGUGUAGCGGUGA